This is a microRNA precursor of Oryza sativa Japonica Group (Japanese rice), 204 nucleotides long. It matches the Rfam family "MIR812 microRNA precursor family". The record is from Rfam. NCBI's taxonomy places the organism in Eukaryota, Viridiplantae, Streptophyta, Magnoliopsida, Poales, Poaceae.
UUUAAGUGCAACCAUGAGUUUCCGCGCUCAACUUUGAUCGUCCGUCUUAUUUAAAUUUUUUUUAUAAUUAGUAUUUUUGUUGUUAUGAGAUGAUAAAACAUAAAUAGUACUUUACUCGGGACUUAUUUUUUAAUUUUUUUUAAAAAAAUUUCAAAUAAGACGGACAAUCAAAAUUGGGCAGAGAAAACCAUGGCUGCACUUAAA